Molecule: ribosomal RNA, 437 nt
Filed under: uncultured organism
Description: bacterial SSU rRNA
Rfam family: Bacterial small subunit ribosomal RNA
Source: RNAcentral
GACGAACGCUGGCGGCACGCUUAACACAUGCAAGUCGGACGGGAUAGUUUACUAUUUAGUGGCGUACGGGUGAGUAACGCGUAGGAACCUGCCUUUAAGUUUGGGACAACCACCGGAAACGGUGGCUAAUACCGGAUAAUCUCGGGAGAGGAAAGGGGCGACCCGCUUAGAGAGGGGCCUGCGUCUGAUUAGGUAGUUGGUUAGGUAAAGGCUGACCAAGCCGAUGAUCAGUAGCUGGUUUGAGAGGACGAACAGCCACACUGGGACUGAGACACGGCCCAGACUCCUACGGGAGGCAGCAGUGGGGAAUCUUGGACAAUGGGGGAAACCCUGAUCCAGCGAUGCCGCGUGAGUGAUGAAGGCCUUCGGGUUGUAAAGCUCUUUUAUCAGGGACGAUAAUGACGGUACCUGAGGAAUAAGCUCCGGCUAACUCCGUG